Oncorhynchus keta (chum salmon) is the source of this 308-nucleotide long non-coding RNA. RefSeq lists it as uncharacterized. NCBI's taxonomy places the organism in Eukaryota, Metazoa, Chordata, Actinopteri, Salmoniformes, Salmonidae. The record is from RefSeq and is a predicted model, not a curated record. The transcript has 3 exons.
GUAAGAUCUCUCCCAGGCAGAGGAGGAAGGGACUAAGAGCCACGCCCACUAUGAAAGGUAAGAUCUCUCCCAGGCAGAGGAGGAAGGGAGCAAGAGCCACGCCCACUAUGAAAGGUAAGAUCUCUCCCAGGCAGAGGAGGAAGGGAGCAAGAGCCACGCCCACUAUGAAAGGUAAGAUCUCUCCCAGGCAGAGGAGGAAGGGAGCAAGAGCCACGCCCACUAUGAAAGGUAAGAUCUCUCCCAGGCAGAGGAGGAAGGGAGCAAGAGCCACGCCCACUAUGAAAGGUAAGAUCUCUCCCAGGCAGAGG